RNAcentral lists this long non-coding RNA (363 nucleotides) under Danio rerio (zebrafish). Its description in RNAcentral is "si:ch211-245g11.3 (ENSDARG00000096881.2)". Lineage: Eukaryota; Metazoa; Chordata; Actinopteri; Cypriniformes; Danionidae. The record is from RNAcentral.
CUGUAAUACAGGCCUACUCGUUUUUUAUACAAGUCACUAAACAUGUGCUUACUUGUUAUAAACACUGGAUUUUCUAGCAUUAGUGAAGCUGUUUAACACACACCUGAUGAUUCAAUGCUGCAUACCGACAUGUUCGACGUGCUGUUAUCAGGACGACGUCCGAAAUCUCGAACAGUUUGAGAGGAAGUGGCAUCUUUCUGUUGGCAGCGACUGUUUUCAGCAGCCCAGGAAGAAGACAGAUGUUCUGGUGCAGUUUCUCCUGCAGCUCUAUGAAGCUGUCGUAUCGCUCCUGGGUGAAUGUAAUGUUGCGCAGUACAGCGGCUACAGCGAACGGCCUCACAGAUGCCGUCUACAGAAACACAA